UUGGAACUUCAUCUUCUCAUAUCUCCUUCAAUUCUUCAUCAAAGGAGUUAGUUUUUAUGUCUAUUCGAUUUAGUUUCUCAAGAUAUGUAAAACCCCUCUAUUAAUUUAUGUGAUAGAGGGUAUAAAAAAUUCGAAUAAAAUUUCUUGUAUUUUAGUGUUCUUAAAUAUAGAAUUUUGGGGCUUUUGUUCUUAAAUUAAUGUUUUGUUGAAAUUGAAACUUGUUUACUAUUCAUAAUCAUAUUAAAUUAGAUCUUGUAAUUUUUAAAAAAUUUUUGUCAUCUUUGAAAUUAUUUCAUAAUUUAAUCAUGUUAUAGUAUAUAAAAAAAUAUAGAAAUCAUGAAAAUAAAAGUCUCUAAAUAUUAAUCUAAUUUUUUUUAUAAAAUAUAAAGUUGUGGAUCUAUUUUUAUAAUAAAAUUUCAAAUCUCUUUAAUAAUUAUUUUUAUAAAAGAAUCAAUUUAAUUAUUCGUAAAAGUAUAUAGACGAGAAAGCUCCUAACCUUUCAAGAGAUAAAGAUCAUUGAUCUCAUCCGGAUGUUUCAAGAUCUAGGAAACUAUGGUUAAACAAGGCACGUACUUUGCGAAUAAAACUAAUCGGUUCAAUUAAAUAACUAUUCGCGAUGAAAUUAAUAAAUAUAUUUUAGGUUUCAUAGAAGUUCCUAAAUUGUAGGUUGCAGUUUUGUUGUGUGUUAUUUGUGGUUUUAGGACUUUUGUAUUUUAUAUUUUUAGGGUAGCAUUUGGAGUUUUUUCAUUUUUCGUACGCUAUUGCAAGGAACCAAAAUACGCAACCUGUGAGUAGAUCUUUCUAAUUCCCCUUUUUACAAUUUAAAUGUUUUGGGGUGUGUCAUGUGUCACAUAUCUCAUUGUAUCACUUAUUUCAAGUUAUUUCAUUUUUCAAAUACAUGCAAAAACUCAGUGUGUAAUUAUGUGGUAGUUAUGCUUCUUUGACUAACCGUUUAAUGUUUUGUGUCGCUAAUCAUUCACGCACAUGGAUUCAUAGGCUGAUCGGUUCUCCAUUACCAUGGGUCCACAACAUAAGAUUCGCUCGUCGGUGAACAAGUUUGAUGUGAUGAGGACGAGAACACAUAGGACGUGCCUUAGUGAUUAAACGAGAUUUAUUUAUAUUUUGUGACUUUGGAUUUUGUGUUGAAGUUGUAUGUAUUAUUUGGAUUAUGUGAUAUCUUUUAAUUUUGAUGUAAUAAUAUUUAAAUU
This 1208-nucleotide long non-coding RNA is filed under the name Helianthus annuus (common sunflower). Its description in RNAcentral is "hypothetical non coding rna". The record is from RNAcentral. Lineage: Eukaryota; Viridiplantae; Streptophyta; Magnoliopsida; Asterales; Asteraceae.